AGCUGCGAAGCAGCAGAGGUGACAUAUGACACUCCUAUUAUACACUCAAAAUAUUAAGAGGCGAAUUCUCAAAAAGAAGCAGGUGCCAGAAUGGCCAAAGACGUCAAAAAUAAGCCUCAGAGUCUAUGUCUCCCUUCGGGACCUCCGGCGUGGCGCUGCGGUCUCUUCCUUCUCGUCCUCUUUCUCCUCCUUGUCACCACUGCUUCCAGCACCAUCAGUCUCAGUCACCUUGGGCUUCUUCGCCUCAGCUGCAGGUUUCACAGGAGCCUGCAACAAGCAAAUGUUGUGGGUUGGGCGUUCUCUUCAAGUCUAGGAUGACGGGGGGAGUAAAACAAUCGUUGGGAAGAACUUACCACAGGCUUCUUGCCACCGAACAGGAUCCUGAAGAGCACGGUCACAAAGACAACAACAACCGAGACCAAAAUGCCAAUAGUGAUGUUGGGCUGCUUCUCUCCCUUCUCGAUCACAUCCUGUGUGCAAGAUAUUGAGAGAAGAUGUCACUUUCUAGGUGUGACAUUCAGAUGUUUGACAAGAUAGGUUAGCAAAGAUUUCCAGAACUCACAAUGAUCUUGGUCUUGUAGGGUGCCAAGAAUGGAACAUCAGCAAUCUUGUACAGGAUGUCAAAAACCUUCUUCUGCAAUGCAGAUGGCAAAACAAGUUAGUUAUAAAAUGGAAGUAUGGUCCAGUAAAGAAAUUAACAGUAAUGGCUGUAAUAAAAAGAUAAGAAAAUGAAUUACCUGGAACUCAGAAAGACCAUCUGCACCAGCAGCAGCCUCCUCAGCCUUCUCCUUUUCCUUCUCAACUUCAUAUUUGGGCUUCCAGGUCUUCUCUAGGAUGGAGGUGGCAACCUUCUCAUCAUCAGCAAUCAAAAUAUUGUCAAACAGGAUGCCAUCCUGCAUCGUCCAGAUCUCAAUUCCAAUAGCAGCAAUUGGAUCAAAGUCAGGCUUGUCGAG
Molecule: long non-coding RNA, 953 nt
Filed under: Setaria italica (foxtail millet)
Lineage: Eukaryota; Viridiplantae; Streptophyta; Magnoliopsida; Poales; Poaceae
Description: long non-coding RNA (SITA_LNC005203)
Source: RNAcentral